GAUGAACGCUGGCGGCGUGCCUAAUACAUGCAAGUCGAGCGAACGGACGAGAAGCUUGCUUCUCUGAUGUUAGCGGCGGACGGGUGAGUAACACGUGGAUAACCUACCUAUAAGACUGGGAUAACUUCGGGAAACCGUAGCUAAUACCGGAUAAUAUUUUGAACCGCAUGGUUCAAAAGUGAAAGACGGUCUUGCUGUCACUUAUAGAUGGAUCCGCGCUGCAUUAGGUAGUUGGUAAGGUAACGGCUUACCAAGGCAACGAUGCAUAGCCGACCUGAGAGGGUGAUCGGCCACACGGGAACUGAGACACGGUCCAGACUCCUACGGGAGGCAGCAGUAGGGAAUCUUCCGCAAUGGGCGAAAGCCUGACGGAGCAACGCCGCGUGAGUGAUGAAGGUCUUCGGAUCGUAAAACUCUGUUAUUAGGGAAGAACAUAUGUGUAAGUAACUGUGCACAUCUUGACGGUACCUAAUCAGAAAGCCACGGCUAACUACGUG
RNAcentral lists this ribosomal RNA (497 nucleotides) under uncultured bacterium. RNAcentral's name for it is "partial 16S ribosomal RNA". It matches the Rfam family "Bacterial small subunit ribosomal RNA", at positions 28 to 507 of the family's 1533-position model. The record is from RNAcentral.